GGCGAUUCUCAGGUGACACACCCUGGAAUCGGGGUCCCUCCUCUCUGGUUCCAGGUGCAUCACCCGAGAACCACA
Myotis lucifugus (little brown bat) is the source of this 75-nucleotide non-coding RNA. The record is from Rfam. Lineage: Eukaryota; Metazoa; Chordata; Mammalia; Chiroptera; Vespertilionidae.